This 442-nucleotide ribosomal RNA is filed under the name uncultured bacterium. RNAcentral describes it as "partial 16S ribosomal RNA". It matches the Rfam family "Bacterial small subunit ribosomal RNA", at positions 338 to 795 of the family's 1533-position model. The record is from RNAcentral.
CCUACGGUGGGCUGCAGUGGGGAAUAUUGGGCAAUGGGCGCAAGCCUGACCCAGCAACGCCGCGUGAAGGAAGAAGGCUUUCGGGUUGUAAACUUCUUUUAAGGGGGAAGAGCAGAAGACGGUACCCCUUGAAUAAGCCACGGCUAACUACGUGCCAGCAGCCGCGGUAAUACGUAGGUGGCAAGCGUUGUCCGGAUUUACUGGGUGUAAAGGGCGUGCAGCCGGAGAGACAAGUCAGAUGUGAAAUCCACGGGCUCGACCCGUGAACUGCAUUUGAAACUGUUUCCCUUGAGUGUCGGAGAGGUAAUCGGAAUUCCUUGUGUAGCGGUGAAAUGCGUAGAUAUAAGGAAGAACACCAGUGGCGAAGGCGGAUUACUGGACGAUAACUGACGGUGAGGCGCGAAAGCGUGGGGCGCAAACAGGAUUAGAUACCCUUGUAGUC